RNAcentral lists this ribosomal RNA (375 nucleotides) under uncultured bacterium. RNAcentral's name for it is "bacterial SSU rRNA". It matches the Rfam family "Bacterial small subunit ribosomal RNA", at positions 524 to 898 of the family's 1533-position model. The record is from RNAcentral.
GACGAACCGUGCGAACGUUGUUCGGAAUCACUGGGCUUAAAGGGCGCGUAGGCGGCUCGACAAGUCGGGGGUGAAAUCUUUCGGCUCAACCGGAAAAGGGCCUCCGAUACUGUCGAGCUCGAGGGAGGUAGGGGCGGACGGAACUUCCGGUGGAGCGGUGAAAUGCGUUGAUAUCGGAAGGAACGCCGGUGGCGAAAGCGGUCCGCUGGCCCUCUACUGACGCUGAGGCGCGAAAGCCAGGGGAGCAAACGGGAUUAGAUACCCCGGUAGUCCUGGCCCUAAACGAUGGGUACUAGGCUGUGGGCUUGACAUGGGCUCACAGCCGAAGCAAAAGUGUUAAGUACCCCGCCUGGGGAGUAUGGUCGCAAGGCUGAA